GAUGAACGCUAGCGGCAGGCUUAAUACAUGCAAGUCGAGGGGCAGCACGGUUAGCAAUAACUGGUGGCGACCGGCGCACGGGUGCGUAACACGUAUACAAUCUACCUUAAACAGGGGGAUAGCCUUUCGAAAGAGAGAUUAAUACCCCGUAAUAAAUUGAACGGCAUCGUUUGAUUUUGAAAGCUCCGGCGGUUUGAGAUGAGUAUGCGUCUGAUUAGCUAGUUGGUGAGGUAACGGCUCACCAAGGCGACGAUCAGUAGGGGAUCUGAGAGGACUAACCCCCACACUGGUACUGAGACACGGACCAGACUCCUACGGGAGCAGCAGUAAGGAAUAUUGGUCAAUGGAGGCAACUCUGAACCAGCCAUGCCGCGUGCAGGAUGACGGCCCUAUGGGUUGUAAACUGCUUUUAUACAAGAGAAAACCCUGGUACGUGUACCAGGUUGAUAGUAUUGUAAGAAUAAGCAUCGGCUAACUUCGUGCCAGCAGCCGCGGU
RNAcentral lists this ribosomal RNA (496 nucleotides) under uncultured bacterium. RNAcentral describes it as "bacterial SSU rRNA". It matches the Rfam family "Bacterial small subunit ribosomal RNA", at positions 28 to 521 of the family's 1533-position model. The record is from RNAcentral.